This 906-nucleotide ribosomal RNA is filed under the name Staphylococcus lugdunensis. Its description in RNAcentral is "bacterial SSU rRNA". It matches the Rfam family "Bacterial small subunit ribosomal RNA", at positions 41 to 928 of the family's 1533-position model. The record is from RNAcentral. Lineage: Bacteria; Bacillati; Bacillota; Bacilli; Caryophanales; Staphylococcaceae.
GGCGUGCUAAUACAUGCAAGUCGAGCGAACAGAUAAGGAGCUUGCUCCUUUGACGUUAGCGGCGGACGGGUGAGUAACACGUGGGUAACCUACCUAUAAGACUGGGACAACUUCGGGAAACCGGAGCUAAUACCGGAUAAUAUGUUGAACCGCAUGGUUCAAUAGUGAAAGAUGGUUUUGCUAUCACUUAUAGAUGGACCCGCGCCGUAUUAGCUAGUUGGUGAGGUAACGGCUCACCAAGGCAACGAUACGUAGCCGACCUGAGAGGGUGAUCGGCCACACUGGAACUGAGACACGGUCCAGACUCCUACGGGAGGCAGCAGUAGGGAAUCUUCCGCAAUGGGCGAAAGCCUGACGGAGCAACGCCGCGUGAGUGAUGAAGGUCUUAGGAUCGUAAAACUCUGUUAUUAGGGAAGAACAAACGUGUAAGUAACUGUGCACGUCUUGACGGUACCUAAUCAGAAAGCCACGGCUAACUACGUGCCAGCAGCCGCGGUAAUACGUAGGUGGCAAGCGUUAUCCGGAAUUAUUGGGCGUAAAGCGCGCGUAGGCGGUUUUUUAAGUCUGAUGUGAAAGCCCACGGCUCAACCGUGGAGGGUCAUUGGAAACUGGAAAACUUGAGUGCAGAAGAGGAAAGUGGAAUUCCAUGUGUAGCGGUGAAAUGCGCAGAGAUAUGGAGGAACACCAGUGGCGAAGGCGACUUUCUGGUCUGUAACUGACGCUGAUGUGCGAAAGCGUGGGGAUCAAACAGGAUUAGAUACCCUGGUAGUCCACGCCGUAAACGAUGAGUGCUAAGUGUUAGGGGGUUUCCGCCCCUUAGUGCUGCAGCUAACGCUAUUAAGCACUCCGCCUGGGGAGUACGACCGCAAGGUUGAAACUCAAAGGAAUUGACGGGGACCCGCACAA